RNAcentral lists this transfer RNA (76 nucleotides) under Richelia sp. RM2_1_2. RNAcentral describes it as "tRNA-Phe". It matches the Rfam family "tRNA". Rfam says of the family: Transfer RNA (tRNA) molecules are approximately 80 nucleotides in length. Their secondary structure includes four short double-helical elements and three loops (D, anti-codon, and T loops). Further hydrogen bonds mediate the characteristic L-shaped molecular structure. tRNAs have two regions of fundamental functional importance: the anti-codon, which is responsible for specific mRNA codon recognition, and the 3' end, to which the tRNAs corresponding amino acid is attached (by aminoacyl-tRNA synthetases). tRNAs cope with the degeneracy of the genetic code in two manners: having more than one tRNA (with a specific anti-codon) for a particular amino acid; and 'wobble' base-pairing, i.e. permitting non-standard base-pairing at the 3rd anti-codon position. Lineage: Bacteria; Bacillati; Cyanobacteriota; Cyanophyceae; Nostocales; Nostocaceae. The record is from RNAcentral.
GGAGACGUAACCAAGUGGGUCAAGGUGCCUGUUUGAAAAACAGGUUAUGUGGGUUCGAGUCCCACCGUCUCCACCA